GAUGAACGCUGGCGGCGUGCCUAAUACAUGCAAGUCGAGCGAACAGACGAGGAGCUUGCUCCUCUGACGUUAGCGGCGGACGGGUGAGUAACACGUGGAUAACCUCCCUAUAAGACUGGGAUCACUUCGGGAAACCGGCGCUAAUACCGGAUAAUAUAUUGAACCGCAUGGUUCAAUAGUGAAAGACGGUUUUGCUGUCACUUCUAGCUGGAUCCGCGCCGCAUUAGCUAGUUGGUAAGGUAACGGCUUACCAAGGCGACGAUGCGUAGCCGACCUGAGAGGGGGAUAGGCCACACUGGAAGUGAGACACGGUCAAGACGCCUACGGGAGGCAGCAGUAGGGAAUCUUCCGCAAUGGGCGAAAGCCUGACGGAGCAACGCCGCGUGAGUGAUGAAGGUCUUCGGAUCGUAAAACUCUGUUAUUAGGGAAGAACAAAUGUGUAAGUAACUAUGCACGUCGUGACGGUACCUAAUCAGAAAGCCACGGCUAACUACGUG
Molecule: ribosomal RNA, 497 nt
Filed under: uncultured bacterium
Lineage: Bacteria
Description: partial 16S ribosomal RNA
Rfam family: Bacterial small subunit ribosomal RNA
Source: RNAcentral